CUGCUGCUGGGCUGGCUCUGGGGGCUCGGGGGUGGGAUGGGGUUUGAUGUCAGCCCUUGAGAACAGGAUCCCCCCCGCCGCUCCGCCUGAUCUUCCCCUGGAGCCAUCAACCAGGGCAGGGCCACGAUGGGCUUGGACAGCCAGAGCUGCUGUGAAACCCAGCUCGGCUCCCUGGCAGGGCAGGGGGAGCCUGAGCAGGGCUUUAACCCCUUGUGAGGGCCCCUGGAACAGCCUCAGCCCCCCUUGUUCCAGGGGUUUAACCUCUUGUGAGGGCCCCUGGAACGGCCUCUGCCCCACUGUCCCUGGGAUUUAACCCCUUGUGAGGGUCCUUUGAACAGCAGCAGCACCAGCCCCCUGUUCCAGGGGUUUAACCCCUUGUGAGGGUCCCUGGAGCCCAGGUAAAUCCUGGGAUUUCCCCUCCUCCACCCUGCACUGGUGAAGCUCUGCACAGGGAACACACAGAGCAGCUCCUCCCCAGCCCACAGCCCCCAAAAUCUGCUGAAAAUGUCCUAAAGGGGCCGGACUGCUGUUUCCCCACAGCCUGCUGCAGGGCCCGGGGUAUUCCCAGGGAAAUGAGUGCCUGGAAAGGAGAAAUUCCUGUGGAACACAAUGAAAUGUGUGCCUGGAAAGGAGAAAUUCCUGUGGAACACAGGGAAAUGUGUGCCUGGAAAGGAGAAAUUCCUGUGGAACACAAGGAAAUCAGAAUCUGGAAAGAAGAAAUUCCCAGCAGGAAUGAGGAGGUGAUCCCGACAAUCCCAGCCUGGCAUUGUCCAGAGGCUCCCGGAGCUGUGGCAGCCUUGGGAAUGCCAGCACUGCCUGGGGAGCCCGGGCAGUGCCCCUGCAGCCUCUGCUCAGAUUCCUGAUCCAUUCCAACCCUCCCGACACAGCUCCAGCCACCCUCAGGUUCGUUUUUCCACAUGAAUGAAUAAAUCUGUUCGGGAUGGAGCUGA
Long non-coding RNA from Prinia subflava (tawny-flanked prinia), 950 nucleotides. RefSeq lists it as uncharacterized. NCBI's taxonomy places the organism in Eukaryota, Metazoa, Chordata, Aves, Passeriformes, Cisticolidae. The record is from RefSeq and is a predicted model, not a curated record. The transcript is spliced from 2 exons.